This 71-nucleotide transfer RNA is filed under the name Ictidomys tridecemlineatus (thirteen-lined ground squirrel). Its description in RNAcentral is "Spermophilus tridecemlineatus (thirteen-lined ground squirrel) tRNA". It matches the Rfam family "tRNA". Rfam says of the family: Transfer RNA (tRNA) molecules are approximately 80 nucleotides in length. Their secondary structure includes four short double-helical elements and three loops (D, anti-codon, and T loops). The record is from Rfam by way of RNAcentral. Lineage: Eukaryota; Metazoa; Chordata; Mammalia; Rodentia; Sciuridae.
GGGGAUAUAGCUCAGCUGGUAAGAGUGUUUGCCUCACAUGCAUAAGGCCCUGGGUUCGACCCCCAGCACCA